AGUGAACGCUGGCGGUAGGCCUAACACAUGCAAGUCGAACGGCAGCACAGUAAGAGCUUGCUCUUACGGGUGGCGAGUGGCGGACGGGUGAGGAAUACAUCGGAAUCUACUUUUUCGUGGGGGGUAACGUAGGGAAACUUACGCUAAUACCGCAUACGACCUACGGGCGAAAGCAGGGGAUCUUCGGACCUUGCGCGAUUGAAUGAGCCGAUGUCGGAUUAGCUAGUUGGCGGGGUAAAGGCCCACCAAGGCGACGAUCCGUAGCUGGUCUGAGAGGAUGAUCAGCCACACUGGAACUGAGACACGGUCCAGACUCCUACGGGAGGCAGCAGUGGGGAAUAUUGGACAAUGGGCGCAAGCCUGAUCCAGCCAUACCGCGUGGGUGAAGAAGGCCUUCGGGUUGUAAAGCCCUUUUGUUGGGAAAGAAAAGCAGCAGGUUAAUACCCCGCUGUUCUGACGGUACCCAAAGAAUAAGCACCGGCUAACUUCGUG
Molecule: ribosomal RNA, 492 nt
Filed under: uncultured bacterium
Lineage: Bacteria
Description: partial 16S ribosomal RNA
Rfam family: Bacterial small subunit ribosomal RNA
Source: RNAcentral